RNAcentral lists this long non-coding RNA (490 nucleotides) under Penaeus chinensis. RNAcentral describes it as "uncharacterized LOC125035514, transcript variant X2". Lineage: Eukaryota; Metazoa; Arthropoda; Malacostraca; Decapoda; Penaeidae. The record is from RNAcentral.
UCAGUGACAAACUCAGGAAAUACCCACUCGCUUCGCUUGUUAUGUAUGGGUAUUGUCGCGUCCCUAAAAUUAACUGUGACUGGAGUGUGCGUUCUCAGCGGAUCGUGUGAUGUGCGUUCAUUCGCGUUCAUGGAAGGUGAAGUGCGUGUGUUCGUAAGUGUGUGGCGAGGUUAGGCGCUCGGCGGUCAGUGUGUGUGCAGCCGUCAGUGGGGGUGGACGUUCCUCUUGUCCGCGCGCCGUCACUGGGUGAUUUUUUUUUCCUUUUUUCUUUAAAAACAGACGUCGCCGCCGCCACCACUCUAGGACAGGUACGAAUUGUUCACGAGACCGAAGGAGGACGAGCUGCGUCUUGUGAGGUGCGCCGCAUAACCCACGUAAGGAUCGGUUUCUAUAGAAUUCUUCCAAACACGCUUUGUCUUGUAAGGAAGCCGGGUGACAAGAGCUGCCAGGUAAAGAAUUUUUUUAUUUUUCUUGCUACUUUUUAUGCCGC